GAUGAACGCUGGCGGCGUGCCUAAUACAUGCAAGUCGAGCGAACGGACGAGAAGCUUGCUUCUCUGAUGUUAGCGGCGGACGGGUGAGUAACACGUGGAUAACCUACCUAUAAGACUGGGAUAACUUCGGGAAACCGGAGCUAAUACCGGAUAAUAUUUUGAACCGCAUGGUUCAAAAGUGAAAGACGGUCUUGCUGUCACUUAUAGAUGGAUCCGCGCUGCAUUAGCUAGUUGGUAAGGUAACGGCUUACCAAGGCAACGAUGCAUAGCCGACCUGAGAGGGUGAUCGGCCACACUGGAACGGAGACACGGUCCAGACUCCUACGGGAGGCAGCAGUAGGGAAUCUUCCGCAAUGGGCGGAAGCCUGACGGAGCAACGCCGCGUGAGUGAUGAAGGUCUUCGGAUCGUAAAACUCUGUUAUUAGGGAAGAACAUAUGUGUAAGUAACUGUGCACAUCUUGACGGUAUCUAAUCAGAAAGCCACGGCUAACUACGUG
RNAcentral lists this ribosomal RNA (497 nucleotides) under uncultured bacterium. Its description in RNAcentral is "partial 16S ribosomal RNA". It matches the Rfam family "Bacterial small subunit ribosomal RNA", at positions 28 to 507 of the family's 1533-position model. The record is from RNAcentral.